Temnothorax curvispinosus is the source of this 724-nucleotide long non-coding RNA. RefSeq lists it as uncharacterized. The transcript is spliced from 3 exons. The record is from RefSeq and is a predicted model, not a curated record. NCBI's taxonomy places the organism in Eukaryota, Metazoa, Arthropoda, Insecta, Hymenoptera, Formicidae.
UACGGAAUGGCAAUUGUUUCCUGCUUCUUCAGCGAUAUUUCUGAAAUCUCUGAUAUUUUUGAAAUCACACGUUUGCGACACGUGACAGAUUUACAGAGAUGCUUGCCACAGUCGACGAUCAAAACAAUAACAGUGGUCAAAGUGGCUGUAGCACCUGUGGCAGGAUAACAGUUUCUCGCCGUUCUUUACGUGAGUAUAAGUAUCGUACCGCGGAGGGUGUGUAUUCCAACGAGAUUAUUAACGUUAUCAAUAAUUUCAUAUGUAUGUGGUAAGAUCAACAAAAUUCAAUAAUUGAUUCUGUAUAAAAUACGACAAAAGCUCGUUCAUCACAGAUUAGGAACGUAGGUCAGGUUACAGCAUAUAUAUUUACAGGCUUCAGAGUCUGUCUCACGCAGAUACCAGAACUAAGUUAAUAGCGGCCUAAAAAAGCUUGCAUGGUGUUUGAGUACUAUAAUCGCAUCACGAAGCAAGCGGUCGUGGAUAUACGCGGAGUGCACACGAAUCCUCUAUUUGAUAAACCAGCAAAAACAAUAAAUCACGGGUGAAAUCACAACAUUCCAAACACUAUAUUUGUCCUUUACACUGAAUAAGGAGACUUUGAUAUAACGAGACUGUGUAUAGGCAGAAAUCAUGGAAUCAGAAGCAAGUCAUCAAAUUAAUAACGACUACACCGAGUUGUUCUUCUACGCGAACAUGUGUCACGUUUGCAAACGGUUUGGCGACG